GAUGAACGCUGGCGGCGUGCCUAAUACAUGCAAGUCGAGCGAACAGACGAGUAGUUUGCUCCUCUGUCGUUAGCGGCGGACGGGUGAGUAACAUGUGUAUAACCUACCUAUAUUACUGGGAUAACUUCGGGACACCGGAUCUUAUAGCGUAUAAUAUCAUUAACCGCGUUGUUCAGUAGUGAUAUUCGGUUUGGCUUUCGCUUACAGCUUGAUCCGCGCCGCAUUAGCUAGUUGGUCAGGUAACGGCUUACCAAGGCAACGAUGCGUAGCCGACCUGAGAGGGUGAUCGGCCACACUGGAACUUGUACAGGGUCCAGAGGCCUACGGGAGGCAGCAGUAGGGAAUCUUCCGCAAUGGGCGAAAGCAUGACGGAGCAACGCCGAGCGUGAGAUGACGGUCUUCGGAUCGUAAAGCUCUGUUACUAGGGAAGAACAACUGUGUAAGUAACUAUGCACGUAUUGACGGUACCUAAUCAGAAAGCCACGGCUAACUACGUG
This 497-nucleotide ribosomal RNA is filed under the name uncultured bacterium. RNAcentral describes it as "partial 16S ribosomal RNA". It matches the Rfam family "Bacterial small subunit ribosomal RNA", at positions 28 to 507 of the family's 1533-position model. The record is from RNAcentral.